AAUAUUGGACAAUGGGCGCAAGCCUGAUCCAGCCAUGCCGCGUGUGUGAAGAAGGNCUNNGGAUUNUNAAGCACUUUAAGUUGNNNNNAAGGGUUGUAGGUUAAUACCCUGCAAUUUUGACGUUACCAACAGAAUAAGCACCGGCUAACUUCGUGCCAGCAGCCGCGGUAAUACGAAGGGUGCAAGCGUUAAUCGGAAUUACUGGGCGUAAAGCGCGCGUAGGUGGUUCGUUAAGUUGGAAGUGAAAGCCCCGGGCUUAACCUGGGAAUUGCUUUCAAAACUGACGAGCUAGAGUACGGUAGAGGGUAGUGGAAUUUCCUGUGUAGCGGUGAAAUGCGUAGAUAUUGGGAGGAACACCAGUGGCGAAGGCGACUUUCUGGACGAUAACUGACGCUGAGGCGCGAAAGCGUGGGGAGCAAACAGG
This 424-nucleotide ribosomal RNA is filed under the name uncultured bacterium. Its description in RNAcentral is "partial 16S ribosomal RNA". It matches the Rfam family "Bacterial small subunit ribosomal RNA", at positions 360 to 776 of the family's 1533-position model. The record is from RNAcentral.